Molecule: ribosomal RNA, 497 nt
Filed under: uncultured bacterium
Lineage: Bacteria
Description: partial 16S ribosomal RNA
Rfam family: Bacterial small subunit ribosomal RNA
Source: RNAcentral
GAUGAACGCUGGCGGCGUGCCUAAUACAUGCAAGUCGAGCGGACAGACGAGGAGCUUGCUCCUCUGACGUUAGCGGCGGACGUGUGAGUAACACGUGGAUAACCUACCUAUAAUACUGGUAUAACUUCGGGAAACCGGAGCUAAUACCGGAGAAUAUAUUGAACCGCAUGGUUCAAUGGUGAAAUACGGUGUUGCUGUCACUAAUAGAGGGAUCCCCGCCGCAUUAGCUAGUUGGUCAGGUAACGGGUUACCACGGCAACGAGGCGUAGCCGAGCUGAGAGGGUGGUAGGCCACCCUAGAGCUGGGACACGGUCAAGACGCCUACGGGAGGCCGCAGUCGGCAAUGUUACGCAAUGGUCGAAAGCAUGACGGAGCAACGCCGCGUGAGUGACGAAGGUCCUCCGAUCGUAAAACUCUCUUACUAGGGAAAAACAACUGUGUAAGUAACCAUGCACGUAUUGACGGUACCUAAUAAGGAAGCACCGGCUAACUACGUG